Molecule: ribosomal RNA, 465 nt
Filed under: uncultured bacterium
Lineage: Bacteria
Description: partial 16S ribosomal RNA
Rfam family: Bacterial small subunit ribosomal RNA
Source: RNAcentral
GACGAACGCUGGCGGCGUGCUUAACACAUGCAAGUCGAACGGAAAGGCCCCUUUGGGGGUCCUCGAGUGGCGAACGGGUGAGUAACACGUGAGUAACCUGCCCUUGACUUCGGGAUAACUUCAGGAAACUGGGGCUAAUACCGGAUAGGAAUCCUUGCUGCAUGGUGGGGGUUGGAAAGCUUCGGCGGUUUUGGAUGGACUCGCGGCUUAUCAGCUUGUUGGUGGGGUAGUGGCUUACCAAGGCUUUGACGGGUAGCCGGCCUGAGAGGGCGACCGGCCACAUUGGGACUGAGAUACGGCCCAGACUCCUACGGGAGGCAGCAGUGGGGAAUAUUGCACAAGGGGCGGAAGCCGGAUGCAGCAACGCCGCGUGCGGGAUGACGGCCUUCGGGCUGUAAACCGCUUUCAGCAGGGGCGAAGCUUGUGGUGACGGUACCUGCAGAAGAAGCACCGGCUAACUACGUG